Molecule: RNA transcript, 1077 nt
Organism: Alligator mississippiensis (American alligator)
Lineage: Eukaryota; Metazoa; Chordata; Crocodylia; Alligatoridae
Gene name: SH3 domain-binding protein 1-like
Exons: 2
Source: RefSeq, a predicted model, not a curated record
CCGGCCCCCGCCUCGUCCUGCGGCCGCGGCCCGCCCGCGCCCAGCGCCGGGUUGUGGCAGGGCAUCGUCGCCAUGCGCCGGGCGCCGCGCGCGCAACCGGCCCCGCGCCCCGCCCCCGCCGCGCGCCCAUUGGCCGCCGCCGCCGCCACUCCCGAGCGCCUGCAGGCCUGGCGGGCGCCCCCUGCAGGCGCGGCCCCGGCCUGGCGGCGCCGCUUCUCGCCGCCGCGCCGCGCCGCACCGCACGUGCUGCAUAGCCCGCGCGCUGCACCGGGGCGGGACUGCCGCCGGGUCACAACGAGCCGCCGGCUGCGGAAAGAGCCGGUCCGCUCUAACAACAAGAAAGAUUUUUUUACCUCCCUGCCUGCCAUCUGACACCUCCAGGGAAGGAAUUCUACCUAAUCUACACAUCAAAGAGCUACUCAGCACAGCUCACAAAGACUCUCAGGGACCCAGAGGGACAGCCUUCCAUCUCCAGCUCCCUCUGUGCAAAAAUGUUUAUUUCCUAACUAUGGGGAGUUUUUACCAUCUUUUACCAUCUGUACCUUUCCCAGAGCCUGAUGAAGGGCCUUUGAGCCCGGAAGCUUGCAGAAAAGGACAAUUUUCUUGCAAUUUCCCACUUGGUCUAAUAAAAGGUAUCAUUUUGGAACCAAGAGUUCAUGUUUUUUGUAUGUCUCCUUGUCUCAGACCAACACAGCUAUCCCUGAAACAUGGAAGAUGCUGAAUUUUAGCCGAUUUUGAAUUUUAAUCUUUAUUGCAGAACAACAGGAAAGAUAUUUUACCUCCCUGCCUGCCACCUGACACCUCCAGGGAAGGAAUUCUAGCUGAUCAACACAUCAAAGAGCUACUCAGCACAGCUCACAAAGACACUCUCAUGGACCCAGAGGGACAGCCUUCCAUCUUCAGCUCCCUCUGUGCAAAAAUGAAGUUUAUUUCCUACCCAUGGGGACUUUUUACCAUUUUGUACCAUCUAUACCUUUCCCAGAACCUGACGAAGGGUCUUUGAGCCCGAAAGCUUGCAGAAAAGGACAGUUUUCUUGUGAUUUCCCAGUUGGUCUAAUAAAAGGUAUCAUUUUGGAA